Molecule: ribosomal RNA, 253 nt
Filed under: uncultured bacterium
Lineage: Bacteria
Description: partial 16S ribosomal RNA
Rfam family: Bacterial small subunit ribosomal RNA
Source: RNAcentral
UACGUAGGGGGCAAGCGUUAUCCGGAAUCAUUGGGCGUAAAGAGCGUGUAGGCGGCCCGAUAAGUCCGCUGUGAAAGUCCAGGGCUCAACCCUGGGAUGCCGGUGGAUACUGUCGGGCUCGAGUCCGGAAGAGGAGUGUGGAAUUCCUGGUGUAGCGGUGAAAUGCGCAGAUAUCAGGAGGAACACCAAUGGCGAAGGCAGCACUCUGGGACGUGACUGACGCUGAGACGCGAAAGCGUGGGGAGCAAACAGG